UAGGGAAUUUUCGUCAAUGGGCGCAAGCCUGAACGAGCGAUGCCGCGUGAGUGAAGAAGGCCUUCGGUCGUAAAGCUCUGUUGCGGGGGAAAAAAGGCAGCAUCAGGAAAUGGGUGCUGACUGAUGGUGCCCCGCCAGAAAGUCACGGCUAACUACGUGCC
RNAcentral lists this ribosomal RNA (161 nucleotides) under uncultured bacterium. RNAcentral describes it as "partial 16S ribosomal RNA". It matches the Rfam family "Bacterial small subunit ribosomal RNA", at positions 355 to 509 of the family's 1533-position model. The record is from RNAcentral.